GCCCUCUUGGCUUAGUGGUAAAGCGUAUCACUAGUACUCCUCAGUACGAUAUGAUAAGAUCGCUAGUUCGAUUCUGGCAGAGGGCA
Molecule: non-coding RNA, 86 nt
Organism: Curvularia kusanoi
Lineage: Eukaryota; Fungi; Ascomycota; Dothideomycetes; Pleosporales; Pleosporaceae
Source: the annotation of a GenBank genome assembly